CCCUGGGUAGCUCAGAUGGUAAAGCAUCUGCCUGCAAUGCGGGAGACCCAGGUUCAAUCCCUGGGUUUGGAA
RNAcentral lists this transfer RNA (72 nucleotides) under Ovis aries (sheep). It matches the Rfam family "tRNA". From Rfam's summary of the family: Transfer RNA (tRNA) molecules are approximately 80 nucleotides in length. Their secondary structure includes four short double-helical elements and three loops (D, anti-codon, and T loops). Further hydrogen bonds mediate the characteristic L-shaped molecular structure. tRNAs have two regions of fundamental functional importance: the anti-codon, which is responsible for specific mRNA codon recognition, and the 3' end, to which the tRNAs corresponding amino acid is attached (by aminoacyl-tRNA synthetases). tRNAs cope with the degeneracy of the genetic code in two manners: having more than one tRNA (with a specific anti-codon) for a particular amino acid; and 'wobble' base-pairing, i.e. permitting non-standard base-pairing at the 3rd anti-codon position. The record is from Rfam by way of RNAcentral. Lineage: Eukaryota; Metazoa; Chordata; Mammalia; Artiodactyla; Bovidae.